CGAGAAGGCCUUUUCAUAGUUUAUUGUUCCAAGUUCUAACACAAGGAGAAGGAGAAGACGAAGACGAUGGGGUUGUGCAAGCUGGUGGAUGCGAUCCUUCUCCUCUUCUUCCUGGUUAUUGCAGUGGUAGCUCCGCUCAUGGACUCCCAGACUUGUCUGCCACUGCACCUGUUUCCGGAUUUCCUCGUCGACUUCAAGUCCUGGUACGCCGGUGAAUACGGAGAUUACCUGAUCGGCGAGAAGCCCAGAUUCUUCGUAGGCCUCGUCUGGCUUGAGCUUCUCCUCCAAUGGCCUCUCUCCAUUGCCAACCUUUACGCCAUUCUAGCGAGGAAGUCCUGGUUCAGCACCACUUGCUUGAUCUAUGGCGUCUCCACUUCCACUUCCAUGGUUGCGAUUUUAGGGGAACUGAUGGGUUCGGGAAAGGCAUCGGACAAGCUUCUUCUGUUGUAUUCCCCGUUCUUGGGCUUUGCUAUCCUUGCGGUUCUGCGUGGGCUUGUGCCAAGCGGGGGUAGGAGCAGGACUCCUACUUCAACGAAUGCCGCAAGAGCAACAACGGCUAGGAAAAAGAAGGCUUGAAGGAGAUUUCGGGAGAUUUCCUUUUUGUCAGGGAAUAAUGACGAAACCACAGCCGUUAUUGCACAGCUGUAAAUGCAUCACUGCAGAGAAUCUUACUGUACAUGCACUUAAAAGGGAAAAACCUCAAUGCCAUAAACCAUGCCUUGCUGUUAAAACAAGGAAUGUUUUCCAUGUGCACAUUCCGUUUCCUAUGGAAGUCAAAGGGAUUGCCUUGUUUUGUUUUAAGCAAGUUUUUCGUGGAAAUAGACUAGUUCUGAAACUAUAUCCUUUCAUGGUUGUGGUCUUUCGUGCCUGUGGUACUAAAAGCCACCGAGUUCCUUUUAUGUGUGUCUGGUGUGUGUUUCUUAUGUUUUGAACAGACCAAUGAGGCUCUGCAUAUGGUCAUUUCGAGAGAUUUCAAGAGACUUCAUUUUCGUCAAUAAUGACAAAACCACAGAUGUUAUUGCGCACAGCUGUAAAUGCAUCACCAUGGAGACCAUUCAUCCACUUGAAUGGGAAAAACCUCAUGCUUAGCUGUUAAAACAAUGAACGUUCUCCAUGUGCACAUUUCCUCUCCUAUGGAAUUUAAAGAGAUUGCCUUGUUUUGGUUUAAGCAAGUUUUGAGUGGAAAUGGUCUAGUUCUGAUGCAUAUGGACAUUUCAAGAGAUCUCCUUUUUGUCAGAGAAUAACGACGAAACCACAGCUGUAAAUGUAUCACUGCGGAGAAUCUUAAUGUUCAUGCACUUAAAAGGGAAAAACCUCAAUGCCAUAAACCAUGCCUUGCUGUUACAACAAGGAACAUUUUCCAUGUGCACGUCCGUCUCCCACGGAAGUUGAAAGGAUUGCCUUGUUUUGUUUUAAUCAAGUUUUUCGUAGAAAUGGACUAGUUCUGAAACUAUAUCCUUUCAUGCUUGUGGUCUUUCGUGCCUGUGGUGCUAAAAGCAACUGAGUUCCUUUUAUGUGUGUGUGGUGUGUGUUGUGUGUUUGUUUCUUAUGUUUUGAACAGACCAAUAGGGCUCUGCAUAUGGGCAUUUCGAGAGAAUUUGAGACUUCCUUUUCGUCAAUAAUGACAAAACCACAGCUGUUAUUGUGCACAGCUGUAAAUGCAUCACCACGGAGACCAUUCAUCCACUUAAAAGGGAAAAACCUCAAGGCCAUAAACAAUGCUUAGCUGUUAAAACAAGGAAUGUUCUCCAUGUGCACAUUCCCUCGCCUAUGGAAGUUAAAGAGAUUGCCUUGUUUUGGUUUAAGCAAGUUUUGAGUAGAAAUGGUCUAGUUCUGAAGCCAUGUCCUUUCAUGCUUGUGGUCUUUCGUUCCUGUGGUCCUAAUUCCCACAGACUUCCUUUUAUAUGAGUGUUUGUGUGUGUGUGUGUGAGAGAGUGAGUUGUCUCUUAUGUUUUGAACAGACCAAUGAGGAUGCUCUGCAAAUGGUCGUUAAUAGAGAUUUCAAGAGAUUUCCUUUUUGUCAGAGAAUGACGACACCACUGCCGUUAUUGCACAGCUGUUCAUCACCAUGGAGAAUAUUACCGUUCAUCUACUCAAAAGGAAAAAACCCCAAUGCCAUAAACCAUGCCUAGCUGUUAAAACGAGGAACGUUCUCCCCGUGUAUAAUCCCUCUCCUUCCUCUUCUCCCCUCUAGCAUUAUAAGUACCACUGUGCUGGCCUCUCCAUUCACUUCACUCUUCCUUCCUCAAACCCACUUUUGAGCUUCUUCUUCUCCUUCUGCUUGCUGCUAUGUAUCAUGGCAGAUAUUAGGGAGAACAGCUUCAAUUUCUCCCAUCUAUGUCAAUAAAUGGUCACUAUGAUCAUCUCUUUCCACUCCCUUCUUGAUGCCAUGAAUCUCUGCUCUUUGCAUUGAUUUUGGGAUAAUCUCUGGUCCCACUGCAGGAUCAUAUAGCUUGAUGAGACCUCCUUCUCGGACAUCGAUGGAAUACACAAAUUGUUGGCUGAUGGAGAAACAGGGUUGGCUAUACACCUGAAAAUUGUCCGAAGGAGUUGGUUCAUUGGGCACGUCAAAUGGGUGGUUUCUUACCUUGAAGCACAAUUUCUCUCCAAAUACAUUAUUUGGGUUUGUUGUGAACUCCAGCACCAUAAAUUUAUCGAAGAAUAGAUUGGAUUUGCCACCAUGAGAAACGUUGAAGAGCUCAAUCUUGACUUCGGGGAAGAUCCAUUUCCGACCCUCUUCUUACCAAGGUUCAUUAUGCCUGAACUUUUAUACAGCCUUGGAGGAUCUAUAAAAUGUAUGAGCUUGAACUCGUCACCUAAGAAUCUAAUUUCCUGAGCUUUCUAGGACAUCAACUCAUGCUAUAUGAACAGUUUCUGAGGGUUUCGGAGCAUUUUGGAGUUCUAGUAUAGCCACUAAAAAUUGAGUCAGAAGCUUGUUUGGCUUGAUGAUUACUUUCUGUAAGACCAGUCCAUUUCUCAACAAGAAUUUCAGGAAAUAUAUUUCGCAAUGGUUGGCAGAAAAUGCAAUCAUUUAAACCAUUUCAAGACAGUUAAGGGCAUGAUGUUUUCUCAAGCAGGUCAGGAUGCUUAAACUGUGCAGUUACAUGCACAAGGUUUUGCCUUCCAAUUACCGCUAUUUUCAUGAGCCACCAUUGCAGUUGAAAACUCUAUGCAUUUGACGUUGAAGUCUUGCGUGGAAGGUUAUGAGCUACUGGGAAUAAUAUGUUUGCUUGCAUUGGUACCUAAUCUUAGAACUCUCUCCAUUAUGUUGGGAUUCAUGAGGACAGUGCAUGAUUUUUUGUGUUUCAACUUUCUGUCGAGCUGUGAUGGGUUUUGGAGACAACCAAAAUGGCCCCUUAACUGUCUUAAGAUGGUUGAGAUGACUGCAUUUUCUGCGCACCCAUUGCGAAAUGGAUUUCUUGAAUUUCUUUGUUGAGAAAUGGAGUGGUCUUACAGAGCUUCUGACCCAAUUAUACAAGCUAUAUUAGUACUCCAAAAUGUUCCGAAAGCCUCAGAAAUUGUUCAGAUAGCGUAAGUUGUUAUAGAUGUCCCAAAAGUUCUGGAAAUUAGGUUCUCUUAGAUGGCAGAAGUUCGAGCUCAAAGACUUUGUGGGAUCCUCAUCCAAGGCUGUAGAAAAUUUCAGGCAUAGUGAACCUUGGUAUGCAAAUGGUCGUAAAUGGAUCUUCGUCGAAGAAAGCAAGAUUGAGCUCCUCAACGUUUCUCUCAGUGGCAAACCCAAUCCAGUCUUCAAUAAUGUUGGGGUUCACGACAAACCCAAAGACUGAAUUUGGAGAAAAAUGGUGCCUCAAGGUGAGAAAGCACCCAUGUGCCCAAGGAAUGAGGUGCAUAGCCAACUCUAUGCCCCCAUCAGCCAUAGCUCUCUGUAUUCCAUCGACGUCGGAUAAGGAUGUCUCAUCAAGCUGUAUGAUCCUGAGAUCAGAGAUUAUCCCAAGAUUGAUGUAGGGAGCACAAAUUCAUGGCAUCGGGAAGGGAGAUGAAAUAGAUGAUCAUAAUAACCAUUUCUAGACAAAGAUGGGUGAAGUUGAAGGUGUUCUCUCUAAUGUAUGUUAUGAUAUGUAACAGCAAUAAGGAGGGGAAGAAGAAGAAGAUAAAAGAGUGAAUGGAGAGGCUGGUACAGUGGUGUAAUUGUGUGCCAGAGGGGAAAGGAGGAAGGAGGGGGAAUAAUUUGUUAGUGUAUGUAAAAGACCGUUUGAAAUAAAAUUCUGUUAUGGUUUGUAAUUACAAAAAA
Molecule: RNA transcript, 4249 nt
Organism: Macadamia integrifolia
Lineage: Eukaryota; Viridiplantae; Streptophyta; Magnoliopsida; Proteales; Proteaceae
Exons: 5
Source: RefSeq, a predicted model, not a curated record